GACGUAGGGCGCGAGCGUUGUCCGGAUUUAUUGGGCGUAAAGAGCUCGUAGGCGGCUUGUCGCGUCGUCCGUGAAAACUUGGGGCUCAACCCCAAGCUUGCGGUCGAUACGGGCAGGCUCGAGUUCGGUAGGGGAGACUGGAAUUCCUGGUGUAGCGGUGAAAUGCGCAGAUAUCUGGAGGAACACCGGUGGCGAAGGCGGCGUCCUGGACCAACACUGACACUGAUGAGCGAAAGCCAGGGGAGCAAACGGG
This 253-nucleotide ribosomal RNA is filed under the name uncultured bacterium. RNAcentral describes it as "partial 16S ribosomal RNA". It matches the Rfam family "Bacterial small subunit ribosomal RNA", at positions 524 to 776 of the family's 1533-position model. The record is from RNAcentral.